AUGCCUACUCCGGGUCCGGUCGAGUUGAAUCUUCUUUGGGAGAUCAAACUACCAUUGAAGAUUAGGAUCUUCUUAUGGCAGUUGGUACGGGGCUGUCUUCCCUCAGGCACGGAGGUGCUAAAGCGGAACGGCCCGUCCGAUGGAAUGUGCCCUCUAUGUGAGAUUCCGGAGGAGUCCAACCAUAUAUUCUUCGUAUGUCUGGCUGCAAGGUUCCUAUGGAGCUAUUUACAGGAGGUUGUAGGUGGCGGAUGGUGUCAUGACAACCUGCCCGAUAUGUUUAGAGAGGUGCUCGGGUCCCACAAUUCCGUUGUGCGACCGGCCCUCUAG
This 327-nucleotide ribosomal RNA is filed under the name Triticum aestivum (bread wheat). Its description in RNAcentral is "partial small subunit ribosomal RNA". Lineage: Eukaryota; Viridiplantae; Streptophyta; Magnoliopsida; Poales; Poaceae. The record is from RNAcentral.